AGUGAACGCUGGCGGUAGGCCUAACACAUGCAAGUCGAACGGCAGCACAGGAGAGCUUGCUCUCUGGGUGGCGAGUGGCGGACGGGUGAGGAAUACAUCGGAAUCUACUCUGUCGUGGGGGAUAACGUAGGGAAGCUUACGCUAAUACCGCAUACGACCUACGGGUGAAAGCAGGGGACCUUCGGGCCUUGCGCGAUUGAAUGAGCCGAUGUCGGAUUAGCUAGUUGGCGGGGUAAAGGCCCACCAAGGCGACGAUCCGUAGCUGGUCUGAGAGGAUGAGCAGCCACACUGGAACUGAGACACGGUCCAGACUCCUACGGGAGGCAGCAGUGGGGAAUAUUGGACAAUGGGCGCAAGCCUGAUCCAGCCAUACCGCGUGGGUGAAGAAGGCCUUCGGGUUGUAAAGCCCUUUUGUUGGGAAAGAAAUCCAACUGGCUAAUACCCGGUUGGGAUGACGGUACCCAAAGAAUAAGCACCGGCUAACUUCGUGCCAGCCGCCGCAGUAA
This 506-nucleotide ribosomal RNA is filed under the name uncultured bacterium. RNAcentral's name for it is "partial 16S ribosomal RNA". It matches the Rfam family "Bacterial small subunit ribosomal RNA", at positions 29 to 523 of the family's 1533-position model. The record is from RNAcentral.